AAAAAAAAAAAAAAAAAAAAAAAAAAAUUAACCCCUUUUUUUUUCUUUUCAUUUUAAUUAACGAAUUUUUUUUUCUUUGUUAAUUUUUUCUUUAAUUCUAAACAUUCUUUCUGUCCAAUAUAAUAAUUUUUUUUCUUUAUAGUACUAUGUUAAGAAGUAAUAAAAAAAAAAGUGGAAAUGACAAAUUAGAUAAAGAAAACAAGUACAACAAUACACCAAAUGAUAAAUAAACAAAAAGAAACAAAAAAUAUAAAUAUAUUAGCAACAAAAGAGGAAAACAAAGCUAGCGAAAUAAAAGAGGGAGCUUUAUCAAUCGAUAGCGAAAAAUCUAAAAUAUUACUCAAAUGUGAGGAGUUACAAAAAAAUGAAUUAGAAGCCUUAAAAUUAAUUUAUGUGCGAGAUAAAGAGUUAGUUAUUAAAAAUGAAAAUAAUAAACAAGUUGAUACAGUAAUACAUAUGGAAUUAAAUGAUGAGAAUAUUAACGACAACAUUAUAAACAUAACUUUUGAAUUACCUAAUGAUUACCCUUUAAAAUCUUUUUUAAUAAUUAACGUAAAUGUAAAAAACUUUACAAAUGAUAUGAAUAAUUAUAUAAAUCAAGAAAUAUACAAAGAUAUGAAUCAAUAUUUAGAACAAGAGUGUAGUAUUUUAAGUAUUAUAUAUAAAAUAAACGAAUUAGUUGAAAAUAUUAUAAACGAUAAAGAACAAUUAGUAAAAGGUUAUCGUUCACUUUCUUCUUCUUCUUGUUCGUCCCAUUCAUCUCGUUUAUCUCAUUUGUCUUUCCAAACUUUCUCAUCAAAUAAAAAAAAAAUAAGUGAUGUAAAUGACAACCAAAUUAAAGACAUUGAAGUUAAUGAUAAAUACGAAUAUAAUGAAAAUAUAAAUAAUGAUAUUUCUGCUUUAUAUUAUAAUAACAAUAUGCAUUUUUCGCCAGUAAAAAAAAUAUUAGCUAGAAGGUUAUGUUAUUCUCACCAUAUUCUUAGUUAUGUAAAAAGAACAUACAUAAUUAAAUGGGCAAAAGAAUUAAAAAUUGGUGGAUAUUCAAAAAUAGGUUAUCCUGGAAUAAUUAUUUGUGAGGGUGGUAAAAAUGAAGUAGACUUUUAUGUUAACAGUUUAAAUAAAUUAAGAUGGAAACAUUUUGAUUGUAGAGGUAUGGAAGAUAUAGAGCUAAAUGAUUAUGAAGAUAUUGAUGAU
RNAcentral lists this long non-coding RNA (1194 nucleotides) under Piliocolobus tephrosceles (Ugandan red Colobus). RNAcentral describes it as "lncRNA (ENSPTEG00000017548.1)". Lineage: Eukaryota; Metazoa; Chordata; Mammalia; Primates; Cercopithecidae. The record is from RNAcentral.